UACGUAGGGUGCAAGCGUUGUCCGGAAUUAUUGGGCGUAAAGAGCUCGUAGGCGGUCUGUCGCGUCUGCUGUGAAAACUCAGGGCUUAACCCUGAGCUUGCAGUGGGUACAGGCAGACUAGAGUGCGGUAGGGGAGACUGGAAUUCCUGGUGUAGCGGUGAAAUGCGCAGAUAUCAGGAGGAACACCGGUGGCGAAGGCGGGUCUCUGGGCCGUAACUGACGCUGAGGAGCGAAAGCAUGGGGAGCGAACAGG
RNAcentral lists this ribosomal RNA (253 nucleotides) under uncultured bacterium. RNAcentral describes it as "partial 16S ribosomal RNA". It matches the Rfam family "Bacterial small subunit ribosomal RNA", at positions 524 to 776 of the family's 1533-position model. The record is from RNAcentral.